GAAGAGGUGUGCAAAUGUGUCCAAACUGUGGGGAUACAGUGAACUCUGCAAAGCGGUACACACUACUCCAGAAUAAAACAUUUGCAGCUAUAGUUUAAAUCUAAAAGAAAGAAGAGAGCUCUUCUUCUUCCUCAUAUUUGAUUCAAAAACUAAGAAAUGCAUUGAUAAAACUUGCAGAAAUCCAAAUAAGGCCAUGUAGAACAAACACAUAACAGUGUCACAUGAUUUAUUGUAAAUGCUCUGUUCACAGUGGCCUCUUAAGCUGCCAAAAAUCCUCCCGUGCAGCUCAGCCAGGAGAGGUUUCUGCAGGGAGUGCUUGUUGGAGUCACAAACCCAGAUUUAGAUUUCCCUGCUGCAGGCUGAUUUCUAAGAAAUGCCUCUGUGUCUCCUGUGAGGAGAGCCACCUCCUGGUCAAACAGGGGAACUGCAGGUUUCUCCAGAGCAUUCUUUUAAGUCACGUGAUUUACAAGAAAUCGUAGCAGGGCCAUAAGGCUCUUGACUCAGCAGUUGCCUUUUUUUUUAUUGCAUCACGUAUUGGAGCAGUUUUAUUUCUCUUAUCUGGAGAUUGCAGACUGAAGCACUCGGAUGUGAGCAGGAUAUGAACUUCAUGAGCCCUGUAUGUGUGCUUUGAAACCUCACACUGCCUGUGUGAACAGAGUACACUCACAUGUGGGUGGUGUUCAGUGAGAUACGUCACCCAUUAGUCCUGUCACUUAUUGGAGCAUUGAAGAUAAACCUGUUUGUCCUGAAGCUGUCAGUCACUCAAUAAACUGUGUUCUUUUACACUCA
This is a long non-coding RNA of Notolabrus celidotus (New Zealand spotty), 789 nucleotides long. RefSeq lists it as uncharacterized. The transcript is spliced from 2 exons. NCBI's taxonomy places the organism in Eukaryota, Metazoa, Chordata, Actinopteri, Labriformes, Labridae. The record is from RefSeq and is a predicted model, not a curated record.